UUGCCGAUUUGCCUCAACAAGUUUUUGGCGCCGUUGUCGGGGACUCACAGUUUAAGCUAUCUUAUUUGUGUGAUUUUUGAUUAAUUUUGACUUUAUUUAAAUCUUAUUUUAUUUUCUUAUUUUUAUUUUCCCCAUUUUUCAUUUUUUAAUUUUAUCCCUAAUUUUUUUUUUACUAACAAUCUCUCUCUAGGAUUUUUGUGCAGGAUGCAUGUUGUUCUAGAUAAUUUCAACAACUGGUGGGGAUCUCACUCAAGCAUGAAGCAAAGAAAUAAUAGUACAAAGAUUGAGGAGACCCUCCAAUAGUUCAGAAAUUGGACUAUAUCAAGAAUCUCUCUCGAUUCAGAAAAGCACUCAGACAACAUCUAAAAGCAU
Molecule: long non-coding RNA, 372 nt
Filed under: Vigna radiata
Lineage: Eukaryota; Viridiplantae; Streptophyta; Magnoliopsida; Fabales; Fabaceae
Description: long non-coding RNA (VRAD_LNC012833)
Source: RNAcentral